UGCCAUAAAAUUUAUUAACAUUUAACUGCUUCAACUAAGAUGUGAAUCCCCAUCUUGGGGUUCAAAUGGAGGAGUGUCGCCCAUGAGACAAAUAGCCAACUGUGCUAUACAUUCAUUUCCACGAGUGUAAUAUUUAAACCUAAAUUCUAUAUUCCCCAUUUUUAUACAUACACACCACCACCAAUAACAAUAAUAAUAAUAUUUUUUUCAAAAUUGACAUGUGCCAAAUUUUAAUUGGCUCGACUACAUCAAAGUAUUUUUCUUUUCAUAAAUACAAAAGUAAACUGACCCUUUGUUUAGAAAUGUUUUUUAGAUCAAGAAACAAUCAAUGAAAAAGGCGGUCAAACAAAUUGUUUCUUGAAGAAUGAAAAAUGAAAAAAAGAAACAAGAACGUUGUUAAACAAAUCCCAAAUUGAAGUUUUGAAUCCUAUAAGACAUAAAAUUGAAUUUUAUAUUUAACCUACAAGUCAUUAUUAAUUUUUUUAAUAUAAUUGAGAUGUAUUAAACAUAAAAUUGAAAAUUUAGGGAUGCCUAAGAUGCUUUUUAAAUUUCAAGAACUUUUAAGACACAAACGGUAACAUCCCGAGUUCCAAGAAAAUUUUAGUUAAUUAUCUCAACUUAUUGAGUCUUAGUUUUCUUUAAUUUUUGGAAUUUAGGGUCAAAUUGAGAUAAUUGAAAAUUUUUAUUGGUUAAUGUGAAUUCAUUUGAGUAGAGAUUUGAAUUAAUUACCUUGAAAAUAUUGGUUUUAUCUCCUUUUAAUUUUAGAUUUUUUUUUUUGAGCUAUAAUUGAAUUAAUUGGAAAAGAUAAUUGGAUUAUUUGGAUAAAAGAUUUUUUUUUUUUUUGGUUUAAAUUUAAUGAAAGAUUUGGAAUUUUUUGUUUGAUUUGGUGAAGAUCUUGAGGUUUUAAGGAGGAAAAAGAAAAAAGAUUAAAUAUGUAUAUAUAAAUAUAUCGAGGAGAUGGAAAAUGGCUUUUAAAAUAUAUUUAUAUUUGUGAAAUUAUGAUUUUAAUGGAGUGGAAAUAAAAUAGUUUUUUAAUUUUACAGAGCCUCGAAAUUCGUGGAAAGAAGGAAAAAGGGGGUAAAAAGUAAAAAUAUUUUCCCCCUUAUUCCUCUUGAGCGUGCGUGAACCAAACCCCCCCCUUCCUCCCCCGUGUCUCCCUCUCGAUUUUCAGCCUCAGAUCAACGCUGCCACUUUCUUCUUCUUCUCUGGCCGCCGCUCGUCCUCCGAUCAACGUCCACAGUAGUUGCCGCACCCCGACCUUCCGGACGCUAACGCCGAUCUCGCUCGCCUCCGUCCACAGUGUCUAGCGCCACCGGUGAGCGCCGAUUUUUCUCUCUUCUUCAGAUCUGACGACGCCAGACCGCCCUCAAGCCGCUGCCUUAUUCUAGCCGCGCCGCCGUUCUGAUCGACGCCCAGCCUCAGAUUUCGCCGCUGUGCGUCUGCUGGUCUCCGCUGUCAAGUUCUCCAAACAUGACUUCGUUGGAAUCUUGAGUUUUUGGGGUUGGAUCAAGUUUUUCAUAGAAUUUCCUUUGCUUGAAUUUAAUUAAGGUAAGUGUCUUAGUACUGGUUCGCCUUCAAACUAAUUAUCCCAACUACAUGACAAUGCUUGGACUGUUUUGACCGCAAUGUCAUGAUAAGAUGGCUAAGAGCAUUCUAGUAAGUUUUUCUUGAGUUAAGUGACUAUGUUUGUGAUAAAUGAUUAUAUGUGGACUAACGCAUGCUAAGUUUCUAUGGUGAUUGUUAGCUUUUUUAUUCGAGCAAGUGUACACUUUACAACUGUUUGUAUGUUCCUUCGAGAUUCACACCCAUGACUGUUUAUGUGCACAUUUAUGAUUGUUUGUGUA
Long non-coding RNA from Benincasa hispida (wax gourd), 1844 nucleotides. RefSeq lists it as uncharacterized. NCBI's taxonomy places the organism in Eukaryota, Viridiplantae, Streptophyta, Magnoliopsida, Cucurbitales, Cucurbitaceae. The record is from RefSeq and is a predicted model, not a curated record.